GACGAACCGUGCGAACGUUGUUCGGAAUCACUGGGCUUAAAGGGCGCGUAGGCGGGCUGUCCAGUCUGGGGUGAAAUCCCACGGCUCAACCGUGGAACUGCCUCAGAUACUGACGGCCUCGAGGGAGAUAGGGGCAUGCGGAACUGUAGGUGGAGCAGUGAAAUGCGUAGAUAUCGAGAGGAACACCAGUGGCGAAGGCGAGUCCCUGGACGACUCCUGACACUGAGGCACGAAAGCUAGGGGAGCAAACAGG
RNAcentral lists this ribosomal RNA (253 nucleotides) under uncultured bacterium. Its description in RNAcentral is "partial 16S ribosomal RNA". It matches the Rfam family "Bacterial small subunit ribosomal RNA", at positions 524 to 776 of the family's 1533-position model. The record is from RNAcentral.